ACAAUGGAGUUUCUAAACUCUACAAGAAUAUUAAAAAUAAAUAUUU
Gossypium arboreum is the source of this 46-nucleotide non-coding RNA. The record is from Rfam. NCBI's taxonomy places the organism in Eukaryota, Viridiplantae, Streptophyta, Magnoliopsida, Malvales, Malvaceae.